AUGUAUUUGUAUCUGAAGUCUUACAAGAAAAGUAUCACUUCAGUGUGUUUCCUUCUUAUGUUUUUGACUGAGAUAUUUGAAAUCCAGGUAUCUUUGUAACAGGAACAUAUGUUUAAGAAAGAAAAGCUGUUUACAGUUUGUCUAAAAGAAUAUGAAUAAGUAAAAAUACGUUUUUUUUCCCUUUCAUUUUAUUUCCUGAAAACUUAAAACAAUGCAUAAUCAAGAAAAAUGUGAAUUCAAGGGACAAUGGGUGAAAUUCAGAACCUUCUUUAGUCAGUGGGAAGUCUUACUGACUUCAAUGAAGCCAAUAUUUUACCUGAUGCACCAACGUUCCAAUUCUUAUGAAAAUGCAGUGGAAAACCUGUUUCUCUCGAGGCCUAUAACUACAUCUGCUGUGUUGGUGCAACUGGAUUGAAGAAAGGACGUUU
RNAcentral lists this long non-coding RNA (428 nucleotides) under Gallus gallus (chicken). RNAcentral describes it as "lncRNA (ENSGALG00010026405.1)". The record is from RNAcentral. Lineage: Eukaryota; Metazoa; Chordata; Aves; Galliformes; Phasianidae.